AUUGAACGCUGGCGGCAUGCCUUACACAUGCAAGUCGAACGGCAGCGGGGGAGAAGCUUGCUUUUCCUGCCGGCGAGUGGCGAACGGGUGAGUAAUACAUCGGAACGUGCCCUGUAGUGGGGGAUAACUAGUCGAAAGAUUAGCUAAUACCCCAUACGACCUGAGGGUGAAAGUGGGGGACCGCAAGGCCUCAUGCGAAAGGAGCGGCCGAUGUUUGAUUAGCUAGUUGGUGGGGUAAAGGCCUACCAAGGCGACGAUCAGUAGCUGGUCUGAGAGGACGAUCAGCCACACUGGGACUGAGACACGGCCCAGACUCCUACGGGAGGCAGCAGUGGGGAAUUUUGGACAAUGGGCGAAAGCCUGAUCCAGCAAUGCCGCGUGUGUGAAGAAGGCCUUCGGGUUGUAAAGCACUUUUGUCCGGAAAGAAAUGGCUCUGGUUAAUACCUGGGGUCGAUGACGGUACCGGAAGAAUAAGGACCGGCUAACUACGUGCCAGCCGCCGCCGUAA
This 508-nucleotide ribosomal RNA is filed under the name uncultured bacterium. RNAcentral describes it as "partial 16S ribosomal RNA". It matches the Rfam family "Bacterial small subunit ribosomal RNA", at positions 30 to 523 of the family's 1533-position model. The record is from RNAcentral.